Molecule: ribosomal RNA, 429 nt
Filed under: Pseudomonadota bacterium
Lineage: Bacteria; Pseudomonadati; Pseudomonadota
Description: Proteobacteria bacterium partial 16S ribosomal RNA
Rfam family: Bacterial small subunit ribosomal RNA
Source: RNAcentral
UGGGGAAUAUUGGACAAUGGGCGAAAGCCUGAUCCAGCCAUGCCGCGUGUGUGAAGAAGGUCUUCGGAUUGUAAAGCACUUUAAGUUGGGAGGAAGGGCAGUAAGCGAAUACCUUGCUGUUUUGACGUUACCGACAGAAUAAGCACCGGCUAACUCUGUGCCAGCAGCCGCGGUAAUACAGAGGGUGCAAGCGUUAAUCGGAAUUACUGGGCGUAAAGCGCGCGUAGGUGGUUCGUUAAGUUGAAUGUGAAAGCCCCGGGCUCAACCUGGGAACUGCAUCCAAAACUGGCGAGCUAGAGUAGGGCAGAGGGUGGUGGAAUUCCCUGUGUAGCGGUGAAAUGCGUAGAUAUAGGGAGGAACACCAGUGGCGAAGGCGACCACCUGGGCUCAUACUGACACUGAGGUGCGAAAGCGUGGGGAGCAAACAGG